Molecule: long non-coding RNA, 395 nt
Filed under: Homo sapiens (human)
Lineage: Eukaryota; Metazoa; Chordata; Mammalia; Primates; Hominidae
Description: novel transcript, antisense MYO9B
Source: RNAcentral
CAGGUAGAAGAGGCCCGUGGGUUUCUUGCUGAUGAGAUGGAUGCAGCCGACAUUGUCUGUGUAGCCGAUGUUGUGCCACGUGAUCCCCUCGCCCUGAUAUUCCUCCUGCAGGGGUGGCGCGGGGUCGAGAUCGACAGACGCUAUGCUGUACAGGCUAGUCUGGACCUCCUGGCCUCAAGUGAUCCUCCUGCCUCGGUCUCCCGAGUAGCUGAGAUUACAGGAGGAAACGUAGACAUGGCGUGGCAUUCAGAGAUUCCUGGGAAAACAUUCUCCUACCUCUCAUCCUUCUCCUGAGACACCAGGCGAGACUUUUCAAGCAGAUAUUUCUCGACGACAGCUCUGUCAUUAAGAGAAAAACAGAAAGAAUAAAACAUUACAUUUUAGUAUUGUGUUAA